AGGCUAUCGGAUUACUGGGCGUAAGCGCACGCAGGCGGUCUGUCAAGUCGGAUGUGAAUCCCCGGGCUCAACCUGGGAACUGCAUUCGAAACUGGCAGGCUAGAGUCUUGUAGAGGGGGGUAGAAUUCCAGGUGUAGCGGUGAAAUGCGUAGAGAUCUGGAGGAAUACCGGUGGCGAAGGCGGCCCCCUGGACAAAGACUGACGCUCAGGUGCGAAAGCGUGGGGAGCAAACAGGAUUAGAUACCCUGGUAGUCCACGCCGUAAACGAUGUCGACUUGGAGGUUGUGCCCUUGAGGCGUGGCUUCCGGAGCUAACGCGUUAAGUCGACCGCCUGGGGAGUACGGCCGCAAGGUUAAAACUCAAAUGAAUUGACGGGGGCCCGCACAAGCGGUGGAGCAUGUGGUUUAAUUCGAUGCAACGCGAAGAACCUUACCUACUCUUGACAUCCAGAGAACUUAGCAGAGAUGCUUUGGUGCCUUCGGGAACUCUGAGACAGGUGCUGCAUGGCUGUCGUCAGCUCGUGUUGUGAAAUGUUGGGUUAAGUCCCGCAACGAGCGCAACCCUUAUCCUUUGUUGCCAGCGUUCAGGCCGGGAACUCAAAGGAGACUGCCAGUGAUAACUGAGGAAGGUGGGGGAUGACGUCAAGUCAUCAUGCCCCCUUACGAGUAGGGCUACACACGUGCUACAUGCAUAUACGAAGAGAGCGAUCUCGCGAGAGCAGCGACCUCAUAAGUAUGUCGUAGUCGAUGGAGUCUGCACUCGACUCAUGAAGUCGCAUCGAUAAGUAUCGUAGAUCAGAUUGCUACGUGAUAC
This 813-nucleotide ribosomal RNA is filed under the name Klebsiella aerogenes. RNAcentral's name for it is "bacterial SSU rRNA". It matches the Rfam family "Bacterial small subunit ribosomal RNA", at positions 539 to 1369 of the family's 1533-position model. Lineage: Bacteria; Pseudomonadati; Pseudomonadota; Gammaproteobacteria; Enterobacterales; Enterobacteriaceae. The record is from RNAcentral.